Molecule: ribosomal RNA, 423 nt
Filed under: uncultured bacterium
Lineage: Bacteria
Description: partial 16S ribosomal RNA
Rfam family: Bacterial small subunit ribosomal RNA
Source: RNAcentral
AUAUUGGACAUUGGGCGAAAGCCUGAUCCAGCCAUUCCACGAGUGUGAAGAAGCUCUUCGGGGUGUAAAGCACUUUAAGUUUGGAGGAAGGGUUGUAGGUUAAUACGCUGCUAUUUUUACGUUACCAACAGAAUAAGCACCGAUUAUCUUCGUUCCAGCACCCGCGGUAAUACGAAGGGUGCAAGCGUUAAUCGGAAUUACUGGGCGUAAAGCGCGCGUAGGUGGUUCGUUAAGUUGGAAGUGAAAGCCCCGGGCUUAACCUGGGAAUUGCUUUCAAAACUGGCGAGCUAGAGUACGGUAGAGGGUAGUGGAAUUUCCUGUGUAGCGGUGAAAUGCGUAGAUAUAGGAAGGAACAUCAGUGGCGAAGGCGACUACCUGGACUGAUACUGACACUGAGGUGCGAAAGCGUGGGGAGCAAACAGG